UGGUGGAGCAUGUGGUUUAAUUCGAUGCAACGCGAAGANCCUUACCUACUCUUGACAUCCAGAGAAUUCGCUAGAGAUAGCUUAGUGCCUUCGGGAACUCUGAGACAGGUGCUGCAUGGCUGUCGUCAGCUCGUGUUGUGAAAUGUUGGGUUAAGUCCCGCAACGAGCGCAACCCUUAUCCUUGUUUGCCAGCACAUAAUGGUGGGAACUCCAGGGAGACUGCCGGUGAUAAACCGGAGGAAGGUGGGGACGACGUCAAGUCAUCAUGGCCCUUACGAGUAGGGCUACACACGUGCUACAAUGGCGUAUACAGAGGGCUGCAAACUAGCGAUAGUAAGCGAAUCCCACAAAGUACGUCGUAGUCCGGAUUGGAGUCUGCAACUCGACUCCANGAAGUCGGAANCGC
This 406-nucleotide ribosomal RNA is filed under the name Photobacterium sp. AZTITEMP139. RNAcentral's name for it is "bacterial SSU rRNA". It matches the Rfam family "Bacterial small subunit ribosomal RNA", at positions 930 to 1335 of the family's 1533-position model. Lineage: Bacteria; Pseudomonadati; Pseudomonadota; Gammaproteobacteria; Vibrionales; Vibrionaceae. The record is from RNAcentral.